This is a non-coding RNA of Rattus norvegicus (Norway rat), 69 nucleotides long. Lineage: Eukaryota; Metazoa; Chordata; Mammalia; Rodentia; Muridae. The record is from Rfam.
GGGGAUUUGGCUCAGUGGUAGAGCGCUUGGCUAGGAAGCGCAAGGUCCUGGGUUCGAUCCCCAGCCCCG